GGUUAAAUAAUAUAUUCCCGAGUUGACAAGAGCUAUAAAAUAUAAAUAUUGUUUACGUGGUAAUGUAAUUUGUCAGUAUUUUAUAGUAAUGAAAUAUUAAGCGGUUGUUAGGAUAUCUGGUUUUGUGAGAAUUAAGACAUCUUAGUCAGGUUCUAGCUUGUGAGAUUAGUCAUGAGUUUGAGUUCAAUUAAUAGUAGGUUUAAACUUUUGUUUGCUUUAACGGUAAGUAGUAUAGUGUGUUAUAACAAAUAGUUUUCUUGUGAGGAUUAAUAUUAUUAUUGUAGGGUAUCACAGUGCUGUAAUAAUUAAGCUGUUUCAGCUAAGCAUGAUAAGAUUAGUAUGUUGCAAAAGUUGUGGUGAGAUAGUGUUGUAAAGUAAAAAAUUAAUGGGGGCGAGAUUUCUGUAAAUAACUCGGCAAAAAUAUUCUAAAAUGUUUAACAAAAACAUUUCCUUACUGAGUGUAAGGUAAGUCCUGCCCGGUGAGUGUAAACGGCUGCGGUAUUUUGACCGUACGAAGGUAGCAUAAUAAAUAGCCUUUUAAUUGGGGGCUGGUAUGAAUGGGCUAAUUAGGAAUAAACUUUUUUACAGGAAUAAGCAUAAUUUUAUUAUCAAGUAAAAAGGCUUGGUUAAAGGAAAGUGACAAGAAGACCCUAAGAGUUUUACGCUGAUUAGUUUUAGAUAGACUAAGUGCGUUAUGUAGCUUAAACUAAGCAGUGUUUGACUGGGGCGGUUGAAAUAUUAUCUAUUUUGUAUAUUACUAUAAUGUAAGUAUCGGGUGAAAGUUUAUCCUGUUAAGAAUACAAUACAAAUUACCUUAGGGAUAACAGCAUAAUCUUUUUUGAGAGACCAUAUUGACAGAAAGGUUUGUGACCUCGAUGUUGGAUUUGAAUAACUUUUAGGAGCAGCUUCUGUAAAAGUUGUCUGUUCGACCAUUAAACU
This 939-nucleotide ribosomal RNA is filed under the name Paravargula sp. NW-2004. Its description in RNAcentral is "partial 16S ribosomal RNA". The stretch from base 423 to 574 matches the Rfam family "Archaeal large subunit ribosomal RNA", at positions 1884 to 2089 of the family's 2987-position model. Lineage: Eukaryota; Metazoa; Arthropoda; Ostracoda; Myodocopida; Cypridinidae. The record is from RNAcentral.